GACGAACGCUGGCGGCGUGCCUAAUACAUGCAAGUCGAACGCAGUGGGGACGGGUGAGUAACACGUGGGUAACCUCCCAUCAGAGGGGAUAACACUUGGAAACAGGUGCUAAACCGAUACUGACUUAUGGACCCGCGGUGCAUUAGCUAGUGGGGGAGGUAACGGCUCACCAAGGAGACGAUGCAUAGCCGGCCUGAGAGGAGGACAGGCCACACUGGGACUGAGACACGGCCCAUACUCCUACGUGAGGCAGCAGUGGGGAAUCUUCGAAAAUGGGCGAAAGUCUGACAGAGCAACGCCGCGUGCGUGAAGAAGGUUUUAGGAUCGUAAAACUCUGUUGUUAGAGAAGCGGUAUCUGACCAGAAAGCCACGGCUAACUACGUGCCAGCAGCCGCGGUAAUUC
This 403-nucleotide ribosomal RNA is filed under the name uncultured bacterium. RNAcentral describes it as "partial 16S ribosomal RNA". It matches the Rfam family "Bacterial small subunit ribosomal RNA", at positions 28 to 526 of the family's 1533-position model. The record is from RNAcentral.